UUAAAAGCAGUUUUUGAAAAUGGUAACUUUGGAAGUUACUGAAUGGCAGAGAUUGCCACUUUUAAG
Molecule: transfer RNA, 66 nt
Filed under: Cerion tridentatum costellata
Lineage: Eukaryota; Metazoa; Mollusca; Gastropoda; Stylommatophora; Cerionidae
Description: tRNA-Pro
Source: RNAcentral